AUUGAACGCUGGCGGCAUGCCUUACACAUGCAAGUCGAACGGCAGCACGGGUGCUUGCACCUGGUGGCGAGUGGCGGACGGGGGAGGAAUACAACGGAACAUGUCCUGACGUGGGGGAUAGCCCGGCGGAAGCCGGAUUAAUACCGCAUACGAUCUCGGGAUACGAGCGGGAGACCGUCGGCUCUCGCCCUUUCGGGUUGGCCGAUGGCUGAUUAGCUAGUUGGUGGGGUAAAGGCCUACCAAGGCGACGGCCAGUAGCUGGUCUGAGAGGAAGACCAGGCACACUGGAACUGAGACACGGCCCAGACUCCUACGGGAGGCAGCAGUGGGGAAUUUUGGACAAAGGGCGAAAGCCUGAUCCAGCAAUACCGCGUGUGUGAAGAAGGCCUUCGGGUUGUAAAGCACUUUUGUCCGGAAAGAAACGCUUGAGCCUAAUACGGUCGGGGGAUGACGGUACCGGAAGAAUAAGCACCGGCUAACUACGUG
RNAcentral lists this ribosomal RNA (486 nucleotides) under uncultured bacterium. Its description in RNAcentral is "partial 16S ribosomal RNA". It matches the Rfam family "Bacterial small subunit ribosomal RNA", at positions 29 to 507 of the family's 1533-position model. The record is from RNAcentral.